This 349-nucleotide RNase P RNA is filed under the name Rhodobiaceae bacterium. Its description in RNAcentral is "partial RNase P RNA component class A". It matches the Rfam family "Bacterial RNase P class A". From Rfam's summary of the family: Ribonuclease P (RNase P) is a ubiquitous endoribonuclease, found in archaea, bacteria and eukarya as well as chloroplasts and mitochondria. Its best characterised activity is the generation of mature 5'-ends of tRNAs by cleaving the 5'-leader elements of precursor-tRNAs. Lineage: Bacteria; Pseudomonadati; Pseudomonadota; Alphaproteobacteria; Hyphomicrobiales; Rhodobiaceae. The record is from RNAcentral.
UCAGAGGGUCGGGUAAUCGCCUUCGCAUCUUGUUUCGGCAGGGGACGGGGGAGGAAAGUCCGGGCUCCACGGAAACACGGCGCCGGAUAACGUCCGGCGGAGGUGACUCCAGGGAAAGUGCCACAGAAAGCAAACCGCCUCUUUAUGAGGUAAGGGUGAAAGGGUGCGGUAAGAGCGCACCGCGCUGCCGGUAACGGCAGUGGCAGGGUAAACCCCACCGGGAGCAAGACCAAAUAGAGGCAGCACAUGGCCAGUUUCCGGGCCGCCGCCUGGGUAGGUUGCUUGAGGUGUCCGGUAACGGCCAUCCCAGAUGAAUGAUCACCGCCAUCCUUUGGAUGCGCACAGAACC